CAAAUUAGAACUUGGGUAGGUAAGUAUUUCAUUUACAUUGGAAAAGAGUUGUGCAAAUCAAUAUAAUUUGA
RNAcentral lists this transfer RNA (71 nucleotides) under Parachauliodes continentalis. RNAcentral describes it as "tRNA-Val". Lineage: Eukaryota; Metazoa; Arthropoda; Insecta; Megaloptera; Corydalidae. The record is from RNAcentral.